Molecule: long non-coding RNA, 409 nt
Filed under: Cricetulus griseus (Chinese hamster)
Lineage: Eukaryota; Metazoa; Chordata; Mammalia; Rodentia; Cricetidae
Description: lncRNA (ENSCGRG00015030798.1)
Source: RNAcentral
GUGCUAACACCAUGGUUUGCUGGCAACUUGAAUCCUUCCUACAAACACAGGUCAGGUUGUGUGCUACCCAGAUCUUCUAUCCAUUCUGAGCCAUCCUAUGCUGGAUCCCUGUGCCCGAAGAGGAAUUCCACAUCGCCCCAACACACCUGCUGCAGCUCACUGCAACCUCCCUAGGUUCACACUGUGCUGUAGAAUGGACGCUUUCCCACAACCAGCUGGCCCAGGCUGCCAUUCCCACCCAUUCCCACCUGCCCUUGGAUGAGACUUGUCUACUGGUGGUCUCCAACAUGGGCAGGGGCCAAGAGGAGCUGGAGGCCCGAGGGUCCUAUUCUGGUCCCAGGGCUUGGGGAUACCCACCACCGUGGGCUAGCAGGAGGAUGGACGUGGACUUGAUCCCAAGAGCCUGGCC